AGCACUAUUAUAUUGUUUUUUUUUUUCGUAUUUCGUGGCUGUUUAGUACUUUACUUAAAAUUAAUGUUUAAAUUAGGCACUUUUAGCUCGGAGAUUUUGCAACACUAGAUUUAUCCCACGCUUGGCGUCAUUUUUAAUUUGUUCCAGAUCUUACUUUAGCUUUUCGGAUAAAUUACGCAGUUUCUCUUAAUAAACAGGAAAGAACUGCAGGCAAUUAACUGUGGAAUAUAAGCGACAGUCAUGAAGACGCCAACGCUGAACGAUCUAACGGAGGAUUUCCGCGAGUCUUCGCUGGAAUCAUCUGAUGACAAUAACUCUUUUAACGGCGACUUGGACUCGGGAGAAGUGUGUGCAGCCAGCGAUCAAAAUAAAAGGGUGCAAAUGUAUGAGCAGAGAAAGAUCUCAGAUUUAGAGGAAAGGCUAACAAAUUCUGAGAAAGACAAGAUCAGUCUUCAUGAAGCUCUAAUAAGGGAGAAGGACGAUGUUAUAAAAUCACUUCGAUUCUCAAUUGACUUGAUCACUGAAACAAAGGAAUUCAGCAUUAAGCAAAUGAAAAGUCAAAUUUAUGAUUUGCAGAAUGCAAUUGACUUUAAAAACUCAUUAAAUUUAAACAAUGCUCAAGGAGUAACUACAUGUUUUGGCCCAAAAGAUGAGGGCAAUAAUUUUAUUAAUCCAAAAUCCAAUCAUAAUGAACUGCAAGCGUUGCAAAAUAAAAUGGAAUCACUCGAGAUAACUAAUAGAAAAGAUAAGGAACUUAUUGCCGAGUUGGAAUCAAAAAUUAAAGUCGAAAACGCCGAAAUUGAAUUGAAAAUAAAGGAAAAGGAUUCUAAAAUGGAGGAUUUAAAAAAAAAUGACGAUUGUUUGAGAGCUCGAAUAGCUGAGCUAGAAAAUAAGGUUAGCAUUAUCUCUGCUGAGCUAAAAGAAAAAGAAAAUCAACUGUCUCAGUACACUUUAAGUGACAGAAUCUGCCGAAAAAAAACAACAAAUUUUGCCGCUUAACUAUACAAAAAACCGCAAAAUAAAGGUGGUUGAAAGAAUUGGAUUUGAACCCUAUAUGGCACUAUUCGAAGAUAUUCCAUCUGCUGGUUCGGAUUGGCUUGUGAUUCAGCGCCGCAUCGAUGGAAAGCUGAAAUUUAAUCAAGCUAAUGGGAAAUCGGCAUUUGAAAAUGGCUUUGGUGACCUAAACAAAGAGUUCUGGCUUGGUUUUGAAUUACUACAUCAAAUUACAAAAAUACAAAGGCAUGAGCUAUAUAUAGAACUAGUAGACUUUGAUGAUGUAACCGCAUAUGCCAGAUAUGAUCACUUUGUAGUCGGAAGCAAAGUUGAGGAGUACAUGUUAAAAUCUCUUGGAUCCUAUUCGGGAAACGCUGGCGAUGCUAUGCGCAGUCUUGAGAAAAAAAAAAUCGUCGAAUGGACGUAUGUCGACAAAUCAACCUAUUUUUGGUGGUAUACAUUGAAAUUGCAAUGCAACCUGAAUGGCUCCUAUUAUUCCAAUUUAACAAAGUUGAAUUCGAACUUCGGCAUUUGGUGGGGAAGUUGGAAUUUAGGAAAAUCACGACAUUCCCUAAAGUCAUGCAAAAUGUUGAUAAGGCCGAAGGCAGCAGUAAAAAAUAGUUAAAAGACUUAAUUUGUCUUUAUCUAAACUAUCUUUCCUAAUAGCCUGAACAAUGCGAACACUUGUUUAUUUUUUCUUUUUGUGUUAAAAAUUAAUUUUAUUGUGAAACUGCAUAAAAAACAAGGCUGCAAAAAGUUAAUGUAGAAAAUAAUGUACAAGUUUUGUGUUUUUUAUGUAUGACCAUUUAAAUGUGUUCAA
This is a long non-coding RNA of Drosophila gunungcola (fruit fly), 1813 nucleotides long. RefSeq lists it as uncharacterized. NCBI's taxonomy places the organism in Eukaryota, Metazoa, Arthropoda, Insecta, Diptera, Drosophilidae. The transcript has 4 exons. The record is from RefSeq and is a predicted model, not a curated record.